GUGCAUCUACAUCAUUGUAUUUUACUAAUUUUUUUCUUUACUGUCUUUUCUGAAUGUAGGGAAUUAUUGACAUCAUCUACAAGGCAUAUUAACCAUGAAGAAAGACAGAUUUCAACUGUAUGUCCUCUUUCUGCAGAGACUGAAGAAGAGAGUUCCAUGGACCCCAGCUUCAAAAAACAUGACUCUACAGUGUGAAAUAAUUGAGGGUAAGCACUGCGAA
RNAcentral lists this long non-coding RNA (220 nucleotides) under Sus scrofa (pig). RNAcentral's name for it is "lncRNA (ENSSSCG00070022314.1)". The record is from RNAcentral. Lineage: Eukaryota; Metazoa; Chordata; Mammalia; Artiodactyla; Suidae.